Molecule: unclassified non-coding RNA, 243 nt
Filed under: Glomus sp.
Lineage: Eukaryota; Fungi; Glomeromycota; Glomeromycetes; Glomerales; Glomeraceae
Description: partial contains 5.8S ribosomal RNA and internal transcribed spacer 2
Rfam family: 5.8S ribosomal RNA (bases 1-65)
Source: RNAcentral
GUGGAUCAUCGAAUUUUUGAACGCAAAUUGCACUCUCUUCGGAGAGUAUGCCUGUUUGAGGGUCAGCCUAAAAAAAAUCGCCGUAGUCGCUGUUUCGCGGUGGCUUUUGUCGGAAAUUGGGUCAUCUUAAACCUUUGGGUUUUUGAAGCGGCUUAAAAUUGUCUUUACGAUUCAACGAACUUUUCUAAGCUUUUACUUAUUACACACGUAUAAGGAAUCGAUCUUUAUUAGACGUGGCCGUUG